Molecule: transfer RNA, 83 nt
Filed under: Gordonia phage OneUp
Lineage: Duplodnaviria; Heunggongvirae; Uroviricota; Caudoviricetes
Description: tRNA-Ser
Source: RNAcentral
GGCGAGUUAUCCAGUCUGGGACUGGCUACCGUUGCUAGCGGCUAGGCAUCUUCGGGUGUGUGGUUCGACUCCUCAACUCGCCG